Dromaius novaehollandiae (emu) is the source of this 1086-nucleotide long non-coding RNA. RefSeq lists it as uncharacterized. NCBI's taxonomy places the organism in Eukaryota, Metazoa, Chordata, Aves, Casuariiformes, Dromaiidae. The record is from RefSeq and is a predicted model, not a curated record. The transcript is spliced from 2 exons.
AACCAGAAACCGGCCAGCAGCCUGUUCAAAUGGCACGGACGGAGACAUCGCCCUGACCCAGCCACAAACGCUAGCGGUGCGGGACGGCUGGCAAGCGCCAGAGCCCAGCACAUAGCAGUCCACAGGCUGCCGGUAUCCCAGCUACGGCGAGCACGGGAACGCGCACUCCGAGCCGUCCGCCUGGCUUGCGCCACCUCCUCUGUGUGAGCAGAGCAUUGCGGUUUGGGCAGGAUGUGAUGGCUUGAUUGGCAGAUUCCUCAGCUAGACAAAGAACCUCAAUCCAUAUCCCAUCGAGUUCAGUGGAAACAGGACCAAAUCCAGAGUGAAAAACAUCUGUCCUUUAUCUUGAAUACAUCUUUGUAUAUUUUGGGCUACAAGACUGUACUGUAAUAUAGUUCUCAUGUACAGCAUAUUGCCGCAUCACACAAUCUCGACUUUGGGCAUUAUGUUCAGCCCAUAUUAAUAUGAAGACAAGUGUAUGUAAUAGAGCACCAGGGUGAGAAGCACGAAGCAAAGAAGCUCCAUGUUUCAUCUUAAGUGAUUAGUAUAGUAUUGCAUCUAGUUACAAAAACUAAGAUGUUUCCAUGAAACCAGGUUCUACCAUAAGAUCCAGCAUGCCAACCAUUUCAUUCAUAAAAUUUCUCCCCCAAGCAUUACAGUUACUUAUAUUGUGAGAAAGUCCAAUUCAGUUCCAGGACCAGGAGAUUAUUUUUUCAAAUGGAAAAAAAAAAGUUAACACUGAUUUUCAUCUCUUCCCAUAAUAUUAAAAAUGAUGUGUAAAGCUCUGCUAAUCUGGUCUCUGGAUAGCGCCCAAUCUCUUGCCACGUGUUUCUGUUCUGGGUCUUGCCCUACGGGAAUUUCUGUCAGCACAUGCUCAGGAAACAGUUAUACCGUUCACUUUCUUUCUUUUUUUUUUUUUUUUUGACAGACUCUAUCUGAAGUUGGUGAACCUUUGCACUAAUCACUGCCAGGUGCCUCUGGCUAGCUUUCUGGAAUGCAAGGAAUCUUUUCUUUCGCUCCCUCUUUCUUUCUUUUUUCCUCUUCCCCCCUCUCCCUGAUAUAUAAUAAAUCCUUCAUUGCAGAUCA